GGUAAGGUGGCCGAAUGUUAUGGCGUUAGGUUGUAAACCUUUUUAUGAGGGUUUAAUUCCUUCUCUUAUCA
This 71-nucleotide transfer RNA is filed under the name Podocnemis unifilis (yellow-spotted Amazon River turtle). Its description in RNAcentral is "tRNA-Tyr". It matches the Rfam family "tRNA". Rfam says of the family: Transfer RNA (tRNA) molecules are approximately 80 nucleotides in length. The record is from RNAcentral. Lineage: Eukaryota; Metazoa; Chordata; Testudines; Podocnemididae.